GGUUAGGUUUGGGUUAGGUUUGGGUUAGGUUUGGGUUAGGUUUGGGUUAGGUUUGGGUUAGGUUUGGGUUAGGUUUGGGUUAGGUUUGGGUUAGGUUUGGGUUAGGUUUGGGUUAGGUUUGGGUUAGGUUUGGGUUAGGUUUGGGUUAGGUUUGGGUUAGGUUUGGGUUAGGUUUGGGUUAGGUUUGGGUUAGGUUUGGGUUAGGUUUGGGUUAGGUUUGGGUUAGGUUUGGGUUAGGUUUGGGUUAGGUUUGGGUUAGGUUUGGGUUAGGUUUGGGUUAGGGUUGGGUUAGGUUUGGGUUAGGGUUGGGUUAGGUUUGGGUUAGGUUUGGGUUAGGUUUGGGUUAGGUUUGGGUUAGGUUUGGGUUAGGUUUGGGUUAGGUUUGGGUUAGGUUUGGGUUAGGUUUGGGUUAGGUUUGGGUUAGGUUUGGGUUAGGUUUGGGUUAGGUUUGGGUUAGGUUUGGGUUAGGUUUGGGUUAGGUUUGGGUUAGGUUUGGGUUAGGUUUGGGUUAGGUUUGGGUUAGGUUUGGGUUAGGUUUGGGUUAGGUUUGGGUUAGGUUUGGGUUAGGUUUGGGUUAGGUUUGGGUUAGUUGGUUAGUUGGUAUAUUAUUUCGGCAAUUCGCACGUGCCUAAUCUAGACUAGGAUAUCUAAAAACUAAUUUGUGUUGACGAACAAUGUAACAAUAGACCAUUUGAAAUGUAAUGUAAUGUUCAUUAAAGUAAAAUAGUACACUAGGUACUAAUUUUAAUUUUCAUUAAGUAGUGUGUUAAUAGAAUGUCAGGAUAUAAGUAAUAUAUGUCUCGGGCUCAAUUUCCGCACAAUAUUUUGUGUUGUGUAUGAUUAUGUAUAGGUAAACCCACUGAAUAUCAAGGAGAAGGUCCUUUUUAAUUUAUGACGGGGGGAAACAUUCAAAAGGGACCUAGCUUUUUGAGGAUAAAAGACUAGGGAGUGUGGGCUUUUUACCUCAUUAAAACCAUCCCGGUGGCCACCCUCUGCACCUGUAGGGGGCACCGAGUCCUCUAAGUAGACCUGCUCCGGAGUCCCCAUUCAGGAGAAGGUCCUAGUGGAAGUUCGAAAAGAUUAAAACAACUGGAUUUUAUAUUACGGUUAAGUACCUACGUCAUAGUCUUACGAAUUGAUGCAAACUUCUUUAUCCGAUUUGUUCAUCGAUAGAUCAUAAAUAUCUACAAUGGGCAAUAAAUUACAGUAGGUACCAUCUUAACUUUUU
This is a long non-coding RNA of Spodoptera frugiperda (fall armyworm), 1228 nucleotides long. RefSeq lists it as uncharacterized. Lineage: Eukaryota; Metazoa; Arthropoda; Insecta; Lepidoptera; Noctuidae. The record is from RefSeq and is a predicted model, not a curated record. The transcript is spliced from 4 exons.